Long non-coding RNA from Ruditapes philippinarum (Manila clam), 1395 nucleotides. RefSeq lists it as uncharacterized. The transcript is spliced from 2 exons. NCBI's taxonomy places the organism in Eukaryota, Metazoa, Mollusca, Bivalvia, Venerida, Veneridae. The record is from RefSeq and is a predicted model, not a curated record.
UUUACAUAUGGGAAUAAAAUAAGUUUAAGCAAUGAUAUAAACAAUGGUACUUAACGUUCCCCUGCUCACGUAGAGUAAUAUUCAAUAACAGGAUGUAAUUCACUUACGAUUAUACGAUGGAAAAAUAAUUGGCCCACUUAUCCUAUAAAAACAACUUCAGUAUGCGAUUGUGAUUUAAUAGUGAUACAUAAAAUACGACGAGCCGAAAUCUUCUUGAAAAACGCGUUUAUGAGAUAUAUUAUAAAAUAAGGAAACCGGUUCAUACUGCAUUAAAAGAAAAAGGAAAAUGACUAAGGGCACAUUACUUAUAUUAUUAUUGGUGCUUAGUGAAGUUAUCAAUGUAAGAUCUCAAGCAUGUGUACGGGUUGGUUAUCGCUGUUACGAUGUCGGCGGUAGCUGUUCUAAGAGGUGGACUAAUCGCAGAUGUUUUCGGAUUGGUUCCCGAUGCCGGUGUAGAACUGCUUUUGUUAUCGGAUCACCGCUGCAGAAUAACAACGAAUUGCAAACUAGCUUACCUAACAAUUAAAAUGCUAUCUUGCUCUUAAAACUGGAUAUUUAAACGAUAUAUAAUUGAUCUUAUACAGUGUGUAGUGUAAAGAAGCUUACAAGAUGCAAUAAACAAAAUACAUCUAACAGAAUCAGUCGAAGAUACGAUGGUUACACUUCUAAAAUGAAGAACCACAAUCAAAGUGAACAUUCUUUGUUAUUGUUCGAUAGAUAUAGAUGCAUUGAAUGUUAGAUGUAAAAAAUGUUAUUCCAUUUAAGAUUAAAAUAAUAAAAAAAAACUUGACUUCCAUGAAGUGAGUUAUUUAAAUAUAACAACAGUACAAAGCAACUUUGUCCUUUAUUAUUAUAUAUGCGGAGUAAUAUGCUAAAUUUGUCUGGAAGUGCAAUGCGUUAAAGCGGCCUUCAGCUUUUCUAAAUGUUGACUAUGUAAUUUAAGAUAAUUUAUAAAAUCGUUUCAUAUAUUUGUCAGAUCGAAAGAAUUAACGUUGAAAAUGAAAUUUAACGUCCAUAAAAUACAUAAAUGAUAAGGAAACCCCUCGAUACCUCUUAUCUUCCAGUCCGCUCUCAAUAUGAAAAUGAGUCAAGUGGACGUUUUCCCCAUCUUAAAACAAACGCUACUGCGCGCUAUUAAUAUCUCUCGGGACGCUGUUUUGAAGAAAGCUUAACAGUGAUAUGACGUACUUAUCCUCGAAAAAAAAAAUACGGAAAUAACUUAAUUGCAACACCACAAAUAGUUUUAAAACAAAAUAUUAAAGCUGAAGGCCGCUUUAAAACUACCGUUUAUAAAGCAGUUAUGUUACAUAUUCAUACUGUUUUGUUUUAACGUUUGUAAGCAUCGUUCUUUAAGGCACUGCAAAACAUAUAGAAAAAUAAAAACUGUAAAAUUUA